Prunus avium (sweet cherry) is the source of this 643-nucleotide non-coding RNA. The record is from RefSeq and is a predicted model, not a curated record. NCBI's taxonomy places the organism in Eukaryota, Viridiplantae, Streptophyta, Magnoliopsida, Rosales, Rosaceae.
GAAGUACUCUAAUUUUGGAAGCUCGAUAAAACGUUGGUUUAAAUGUUUUUAGGACGAGCUGAAAAGUUUUUCGAAAAGAAGAAUUUGCUAGCUCUGUUGUAGUUGUCUAGUAUGUUUCUGGGGUUUCCAUCCUUUCUAUUCCUGUUCUGUGGACAUGUAGUAAUGUCCUGUUUCUUGGUCUGUUGGCCUUGUAUCCAUUGUUCUUGCUUUUUGCAGGUUCUACCGCAGGAUUUAACUGUUUUGCAGGUUUUUAUUUUUUGUUGAAGUUAAAAUCUUUAAAUAAAAAAUAAAAUAAAAAACUAGAAGAGUUGAUUAUUUUGUUAUGUCCUAAAUGUCCCACAUAUGAGCUCUUGGGCACUGUUUCUUUUGUAAGCUAGAUUUGCAAGGCUAAGUUCUACCCAUGGGGCAGGAUAUUUGGCAUAGGAUUUCACAGGGAUAUUUGGUAUGGCAUUUCACCACCACGGGGUAGAUGGUAGGUGCAUGAACCCCACUUGGAAAUGGCUACAAUCGAGCUAUCAGGGGAGUAGGUGAGUGAAAGCCACCUCAAUGGAAGUAACUUGGCCAGUGUAUGUAGAGUGGGCUGAUGAGGAGGUAGGGCGCGGAAGAGUGUUAGGUUGACAUGUGCCAGAUGUCAUACGUUUUA